Molecule: non-coding RNA, 385 nt
Organism: Pelobates cultripes (western spadefoot toad)
Lineage: Eukaryota; Metazoa; Chordata; Amphibia; Anura; Pelobatidae
Source: the annotation of a GenBank genome assembly
AGGGACUGGUAUAUCAGUUUGGGCCGUUAUAGUAGGUUGCACUUCAGGGGGCAACAUGAGUGCCUGGGCCAGAGAAUGGGAUAGGGAGGUGGACACCGAGCCCAUGGCUGAAGCCAAGGCUCGCUGGACCAAACCGGCCAUAGUUGAUUCCAGGAGAGACUGGAAUUCCUGAGAGGGUAAAUGACCCGGGUCUAGGCCAGGGGUGGGUAAGGUAUUCUCUAUAUUAGGGCAUCCAGGGCCCCCAUGUCCAUCCCCGUGAUUUUGCAUUGUAUUAUCCAAUUCACCAAUGGGAAUGACUGAAUAGGUGUGCAACCAAUGGAAAUGACUGAAUGGGAAUGACUGAAUAGGUGUGCUAGGCAGGGAGCAACAGGUCUGGAUAAAUCCC